RNAcentral lists this transfer RNA (75 nucleotides) under Nitrospirota bacterium. RNAcentral describes it as "Nitrospirae bacterium (groundwater metagenome) tRNA-Thr". It matches the Rfam family "tRNA". Rfam says of the family: Transfer RNA (tRNA) molecules are approximately 80 nucleotides in length. Lineage: Bacteria; Pseudomonadati; Nitrospirota. The record is from RNAcentral.
GCCGGCGUAGCUCAGUGGUAGAGCAGCUGAUUCGUAAUCAGCUGGUCGGAGGUUCAAUCCCUCUCGCCGGCUCCA